Long non-coding RNA from Lynx canadensis (Canada lynx), 3324 nucleotides. RefSeq lists it as uncharacterized. The transcript has 3 exons. Lineage: Eukaryota; Metazoa; Chordata; Mammalia; Carnivora; Felidae. The record is from RefSeq and is a predicted model, not a curated record.
UCCCAGUGGCUUGGCCAGCGCAGGACCAGGGCCCCGGGCGGGUUAGGAAAAUCGUCCCGUGUGGGUGUGCGUGUGGGUGUCCCGGCCGAUCCCAAGCCGUGACCAGAAGCUGGUUUCUCUCUUCUCAGCCCCUGACUCCCAGUUCCCUCCCUUGUAAGUGUCUCCCCCUCCGUCCCUCUGUCUCUCUGUCCCACGGGGCAGCCGAGGGCCCCCAGCUUCAUGCUUUGCCCUGCCAGUCGAGGGCUGCGGUCGGUUGGGACAUUUUAAGUCUUGGGACCACCCUUGGCCUGUUGGCCGCAGGUGGGAUUUCGUGAUUUGUCUGGACUUCAGCCCCAGAGCCGAGGCACGGGGCCAGCUGCCCCGAGUGCGCGUGCUACCAGAGGCGGUAUCUCGGACAGAGGGGACGUGAGACUCUGAACGGUGGCAUCCUCAGCUAAGAGGGGGCGGGACGCCGCUUAGGGCUUCCGCACAGACAUUCACUUUCCAGAAUGGCAGGAGACACCUUCACCGAGCCCUGCAUGAGAAGAAAGCAAACCUCACACAGACUCACGGCCGCCCUUGGCUCAGGCCUUCGGGUGAGGUGAAGCCCUCUCACCUCACCUGGGGGUAGCUCCUGAGGGUCUGGGGACCCGUGGCUGCCCCCCCCCCCUCCAUGGUAGAGGGAAACAAGGGCUCGUUGUAAAAGAGGAGGGAGGAAACCCCACAGCCUGGCCCUUUGGGGUGGACAGAAAAGCCCGGGCUCCUGGGAGAAUAUCCCGCAGGCCCGGGCCCACGGGGCCACCCCAGGGCCUGGCGCUGAGGUGCCUUCCAGCCAGCGCAGCGUGAGGCCACUUGCCGCCUGGAGGGAUCCGAGGGGUGAGGAGACCUCACCGUCAGCAUCAGUCUCCCUGGCAACACAGUGUUUUUGACAAGUCAGGCUUCUGUCCUAUUAGUUUCCUGUCGGUUGCUUAGUAACCGCCCAGGGCUCGUUCUCAGUCACUGUGUGUGAGCCAGCAUUCGGGGACUCGAUCCUGGAACAGGGUGUCCCUCUGCUUCGCUCUGCACCGAAGUGCUUUGCCCUGCCCCGGUGGAAGGCGGUGGGAGGGGCACGUCCUGUCCACCCCGCGACAGCAGAUGGCGGAGAGCCAGUAGCCUGGGGUCCGCUUGAAGGUCAGGCUCACCGUCUGUCCCCAUCUUCCCUUUUUGCCAAGUCCCUGCUGUCCCUGGGCUCGGCCCUGUGGAGAGACACCCCUGCAAGGCUCCUGGCCCCCAGGCUGCCCCGUAGACUGGAUGGCAUGCUAGAGGGAGACAGGUGUCCUGAACACCAAGCCAGCGUUUGGGUCCGCUCUGUCCACAGAUGGUGGCCAGCUGCAGUAACACUUGAGGCUCAGCAAGACGCCUGGCACAGGAGAACCCAAGGCCUCUGGAAGUUCCUUCUCUAAGUUUCUCUCCUGGGAGCUCACGCACAUCCAUAGCUUCACUCCUGUGGCAGGAGCUCUGUGCCAACCCUCUUUCUGAUUUCUGAAAUCACUGAAGCUGUGAUCCCCUGGGAAACCUGCCCCACAUGGUAUUAUCUGCUCCCCGGGCUCUCGACGUGAGUUUGGAAAUGAAGCUUGGAGUUUGGAAAUGAAGACUGAUAGGUGGUGCUUCCGCAUAUCUGUCCUGUGUUGGAGCGUUUGUUGGCAGCUGGGCUCACGGAAGUCGUCCAGGAGGAUCUUGAAUUUUUCGAGGAAGUGUUAUUCGGACAUCGAGACAUCUGUCGAUACUCUUUGAUUCUGUAUAAAUGAUGAUCAGUGAAGACGCACAGACUAGCUGUUCUCACGUUUUCACAUCCUACAGUGACUACGAGAAUGGCUUCGGGAAGAAAGGUCAAUUCGCGGGACACUGAGUGCCAGCUCAGAGCCAGCCACAGCCCCGAGGAGAGAGGCCACGUGGGGCCAUGCUGUCCACCUCUCCUGACUCCCUUCCCCAUCACCCAGACUAGCUGGCGACAUUCAUGGCAUAAUUAUAUGCAUCCCCGUGCAAAGACUUUCGAAAGUUCAUCUACGUCAGACCCUCCCAGGAUCACCCCGUGAAGUCCACCCUUACAAGUCACUUAAUGUUUGUCUGGUCCUCGGUUCCCCACUGUACGUGAUACCUUUGAACUUGAUUUUCUCUCUGCAAGGUCCUUUUCAGCUCUGAAUUCCCAUGACUUUUCAGUUCGGAGGAAGGCAGUGUCUAAAUGCAAGGUUGUGAUCACCACUUUCUUUUUUUGUUGUCUAAUUACGGUUAUGCGAGAAGAAUGUUCCCUCUCCUCAGGCAGGGCUUUUAAAAAUGCAAAUGUAAAUGUUCCACGUUAUUUUUCUUUAAUGCUGUGACUCCUUAUAAAGUAAAAAACUAGCAGGAUUAUGAAUACGUGAUGGAUUUUUGGAUGCCUUUCCAGCAUGUUCUUUACUGAGAAACAACAGACCGUAAGUCCCGUCCAAACAACCCAGAAAUUAAUGCCUCGUGUGAAUUGUUGACUGUUGCUUAGCAUUUUGGCCAGAAUCGGUGAUUAAAAACUGAGGGGUAUGAACAGAAUGGACUUGAAAAAUUGUGGAACUCAUGACACUAAGUCCAAUUUUUAUUUACACGAGACUGGCCAAAACCUUGAAAUUUACUUAUAAAUAUUGGUUCCUGGUGAAAAACUUGUUAAAUUCCUUUGCAUCAUAAAUAUUGGAAAUAUUUAAGGACGGUGUAGCGUCUCCGAUUCCAGACUUUGAAAGGCUAGGGGAAAAGCUGAGUUACGCACGGUGAUGACUGGGGAGUCCUCACCCUAGCUCUGCAUGAAGCUGGUUUUCCAGAUAAAGCCUCCGCGGUUCUGCCCAGUGUGAGUCAGGCCUCCCCUUGGCAGUGGACACGUCUGAGCGUUGUGUACCCCCUGAAUUGUUUUCUUCCCUCCACCUCACCCGUCCUCGGGCCCUGCUCUCCUAGGUACCAGAGAUGGGCACGAACCCCCCCAGCUCUGGCCUUCUGGGCGGUGACUGAUGACGUAUUCUGAGGUUCAGUAAGAGCCUGUCCUCAUGAAAAGGGCGUGAUUGGAAACACUGGUUAUGCCACUGAGACUUUGACUGGAACGUCACAUUUGGGAACCAUGCUCACCGAAUCACAUGGGACCAGAUGUUUCCAAGGAGCUAAGGUCCGCUUUAUAGAGCUGAUGCUUCAAAGUCCUCUUGGCAAAACUGGUCUGGUACUUUGCUCACCGGGCUCCAAGCCUCACAAGUGAGUAAGGAUGGUCACUUCCUGGAAGACUCAGGAAACUUGAGAUAGUUUGGAGACCUCAAGAAGAGAGGAGUUCAUCUAAAUCUACAUGUUUUGCAAGUGAAA